GAUUUCUGGUAUGGUGCGCUUGGUCCGCCCCGUUUCAGGUGUGUGAGUACCGAUGCGCACCUACCAUCCUUCUGGGGAGUGAGCCUACCCUUCACUGUGGCCGGGUUCACGACCUAGAUCGUUUACUUUGAAAAAAUUAGAGUGUUUAAAGCAGGCUUAUUGCUCUGAAUACAUUAGCAUGGAAUAAUAAGAUAGGACUUUGGUUCUAUUUUGUUGGUUUCUAGGACUGAAGUAAUGAUUGAUAGGGAUAGUUGGGGGUGCUAGUAUUCAACGGCCAGAGGUGAAAUUCUUGGAUUCGUUGAAGACUAACUUAUGCGAAAGCAUU
Molecule: ribosomal RNA, 325 nt
Filed under: uncultured Rhogostoma
Lineage: Eukaryota; Cercozoa; Thecofilosea; Cryomonadida
Description: SSU rRNA
Rfam family: Eukaryotic small subunit ribosomal RNA (bases 107-325)
Source: RNAcentral